UACAGAGGUCUCAAGCGUUGUUCGGAUUCAUUGGGCGUAAAGGGUGCGUAGGUGGCGCGCUAAGUCAGGUGUGAAAUUUCGGAGCUUAACUCCGAAACUGCAUUUGAUACUGGCGUGCUUGAGGACUGGAGAGGAGACUGGAAUUCACGGUGUAGCAGUGAAAUGCGUAGAUAUCGUGAGGAAGACCAGUGGCGAAGGCGGGUCUCUGGACAGUUCCUGACACUGAGGCACUAAGGCCAGGGGAGCAAACGGG
RNAcentral lists this ribosomal RNA (253 nucleotides) under uncultured bacterium. RNAcentral describes it as "partial 16S ribosomal RNA". It matches the Rfam family "Bacterial small subunit ribosomal RNA", at positions 524 to 776 of the family's 1533-position model. The record is from RNAcentral.